This 468-nucleotide ribosomal RNA is filed under the name uncultured bacterium. RNAcentral describes it as "partial 16S ribosomal RNA". It matches the Rfam family "Bacterial small subunit ribosomal RNA", at positions 28 to 507 of the family's 1533-position model. The record is from RNAcentral.
GACGAACGCUGGCGGCGUGCUUAACACAUGCAAGUCGAACGGAAAGGCCCUGCUUUUGUGGGGUGCUCGAGUGGCGAACGGGUGAGUAACACGUGAGUAACCUGCCCUUGACUUUGGGAUAACUUCAGGAAACUGGGGCUAAUACCGGAUAGGAGCCCCUGCUGCAUGGUGGGGGUUGGAAAGUUUCGGCGGUUGGGGAUGGACUCGCGGCUUAUCAGCUUGUUGGUGGGGUAGUGGCUUACCAAGGCUUUGACGGGUAGCCGGCCUGAGAGGGUGACCGGCCACAAUGGGCCUAAGAGAGGGCGCAGACUCGUACGGGAGACAACGGUGGGAAAUAUUGCACAGUGGGCGGAAGCCUGAUGCGGCAACGCCGCGUGCGGGAUGACGGCCUGCGGGUUGUAAACCGCUUCCGCCUGUGACGAAGCGUGAGUGACGGUAAUGGGUAAAGAAGCACCGGCUAACUACGUG